GCUGGAAGUGGUUGGGCCGGAGGUGACUUCUUUAGGUGGUUUUGUAGAUGAAGUUGAAAUUGUCUCGGUUGUGGUUUCUUCAACUGUUGUCGUUCCACCUGUAGUAGGUGUCGUUGUUGUGGGUGCAAUUGUUGUUGUUGUUAAAGUAGUGGGAUUGGAAGUUAUGACAACUGGCCCUGUUGUUUCUUCACCUGUUGUUGUGGGCUGUGAUGUUGAAGUAGAGGUUUCAACAAUUACAGUGGUGGAAGUGGUUGUUGGGCCCGUGCGGACUUCUUUAGGUGGUUUUGUAGAUGGACUUGUCUCAUUUGUGGUUUCUUCACCUGUUGUCGUUCCACCUGUAGUAGGUGUCGUUGUUGUGGGUGCAAUUGUUGUUGUUGUUAAAGUAGUGGGAUUGGAAGUUAUGACAACUGGCCCUGUUGUUUCUUCACCUGUUGUUGUGGACUGUGAUGUUGAAGUAGAGGUUUCAGCAAUUACAGUGGUGGAAGUGGUUGUUGGGCCCGUUGGGACUUCUUUAGGUGGCUUUGUGGAUGUAGAUGGACUUGUCUCAUUUGUGGUUUCUUCAACUGUUGUCGUUCCACCUGUAGUAGGUGUUGUUGUUGUGGGUGCAAUUGUUGUUGUUGUUAAAGUAGUGGGAUUGGAAGUUAUGACAACUGGCCCUGUUGUUUCUUCACCUGUUGUUGCGGGCUGUGAUGUUGAAGUAGAGGUUUCAGCAAUUACAGUGGUGGAAGUGGUUGUUGGGCCCGUUGGGACUUCUUUAGGUGGUUUUGUAGAUGGACUUGUCUCAUUUGUGGUUUCUUCACCUGCUGUCGUUCCACCUGUAGUAGGUGUCGUUGCUGUGGGUGCAAUUGUUGUUGUUGUUACAGUAGUGGGAUUGGAUGUAAUGACAACUGGCCCUGUUGUUUCUUCACCUGUUGUUGUGGACUGUGAUGUUGAAGUAGAGGUUUCAACAAUUACAGUGGUGGAAGUGGUUGUUGGGCCCGUGGGGACUUCUUUAGGUGGCUUUGUGGCUGUAGAUGGAAUUGUCUCGGUUGUGGUUUCUUCAACUGUUGUCGUUCCACCUGUGGCAGGUGUCGUUGUUGUGGGUGCAAUUGUUGUUGUUGUUAAAGUAGUGGGAUUGGAAGUUAUGACAACUGGCCCUGUUGUUUCUUCACCUGUUGUUGCGGGCUGUGAUGUUGAAGUAGAGGUUUCAACAAUUACAGUGGUGGAAGUGGUUGUUGGGCCCGUUGGGACUUCUUUAGGUGGCUUUGUAGAUGGACUUGUCUCAUUUGUGGUUUCUUCAACUGUUGUCGUUCCACCUGUGGUAGGUGUCGUUGUUGUGGGUGCAAUUGUUGUUGUUGUUAAAGUAGUGGGAUUGGAAGUUAUGACAACUGGCCCUGUUGUUUCUUCACCUGUUGUUGCGGGCUGUGAUGUUGAAGUAGAGGUUUCAACAAUUACAGUGGUGGAAGUGGUUGUUGGGCCCGUGGGGACUUCUUUAGGUGGCUUUGUGGAUGUAGAUGGAUUUGUCUCAUUUGUGGUUUCUUCAACUGUUGUCGUUCCACCUGUAGUAGGUGUCGUUGUUGUGGGUGCAAUUGUUGUUGUUGUUACAGUAGUGGGAUUGGAUGUAAUGACAACUGGCCCUGUUGUUUCUUCACCUGUUGUUGUGGACUGUGAUGUUGAAGUAGAGGUUUCAGCAAUUACAGUGGUGGAAGUGGUUGUUGGGCCCGUUGGGACUUCUUUAGGUGGCUUUGUAGAUGGACUUGUCUCAUUUGUGGUUUCUUCAACUGUUGUCGUUCCACCUGUGGUAGGUGUCGUUGUUGUGGGUGCAAUUGUUGUUGUUGUUAAAGUAGUGGGAUUGGAAGUUAUGACAACUGGCCCUGUUGUUUCUUCACCUGUUGUUGCGGGCUGUGAUGUUGAAGUAGAGGUUUCAACAAUUACAGUGGUGGAAGUGGUUGUUGGGCCCGUGGGGACUUCUUUAGGUGGCUUUGUGGAUGUAGAUGGACUUGUCUCAUUUGUGGUUUCUUCAACUGUUGUCGUUCCACCUGUAGUAGGUGUCGUUGCUGUGGGUGCAAUUGUUGUUGUUGUUACAGUAGUGGGAUUGGAUGUAAUGACAACUGGCCCUGUUGUUUCUUCACCUGUUGUUGUGGACUGUGAUGUUGAAGUAGAGGUUUCAGCAAUUACAGUGGUGGAAGUGGUUGUUGGGCCCGUUGGGACUUCUUUAGGUGGUUUUGUAGAUGGACUUGUCUCAUUUGUGGUUUCUUCACCUGUUGUCGUUCCACCUGUAGUAGGUGUUGUAG
Long non-coding RNA from Oncorhynchus keta (chum salmon), 2273 nucleotides. RefSeq lists it as uncharacterized. The record is from RefSeq and is a predicted model, not a curated record. The transcript is spliced from 17 exons. Lineage: Eukaryota; Metazoa; Chordata; Actinopteri; Salmoniformes; Salmonidae.